CAGCCGCCGCGGGAAUACGAAGGGGGCUAGCGUUGCUCGGAAUGACUGGGCGUAAAGGGCGCGUAGGCGGCACAUACAGUCAGAUGUGAAAUUCCUGGGCUUAACCUGGGGGCUGCAUUUGAUACGUAUGAGCUAGAGUGGGGAAGAGGGUUAUGGAAUUCCCAGUGUAGAGGUGAAAUUCGUAGAUAUUGGGAAGAACACCGGUGGCGAAGGCGGCAACCUGGUCCUUGACUGACGCUGAGGCGCGAAAGCGUGGGGAGCAAACAGGAUUAGAUACCCCUGUAGUCCCUGUCUCUUAUAC
This 301-nucleotide ribosomal RNA is filed under the name uncultured bacterium. Its description in RNAcentral is "partial 16S ribosomal RNA". It matches the Rfam family "Bacterial small subunit ribosomal RNA", at positions 509 to 807 of the family's 1533-position model. The record is from RNAcentral.